CCUACGGGAGGCAGCAGUGAGGAAUAUUGGUCAAUGGACGAGAGUCUGAACCAGCCAAGUAGCGUGAAGGAUGACUGCCCUAUGGGUUGUAAACUUCUUUUAUAUGGGAAUAAAACAGGGUAUGCAUACCCUCUUGUAUGUACCAUAUGAAUAAGGAUCGGCUAACUCCGUGCCAGCAGCCGCGGUAAUACGGGGGAUGCAAGCGUUAUCCGGAUUUAUUGGGUUUAAAGGGUGCGUAGGCUGUGAGGUAAGUCAGCGGUGAAAUGCCCCCGCUCAACGGGGUGAAGUGCCAUUGAUACUGCCUUGCUGGAAUGCGGAUGCCGUGGGAGGAAUGUGUGGUGUAGCGGUGAAAUGCAUAGAUAUCACACAGAACACCGAUUGCGAAGGCAUCUCACGAAUCCGCGAUUGACGCUGAUGCACGAAAGCGUGGGUAUCAAACAGGAUUAGAUACCCGUGUAGUC
This 461-nucleotide ribosomal RNA is filed under the name uncultured bacterium. RNAcentral's name for it is "partial 16S ribosomal RNA". It matches the Rfam family "Bacterial small subunit ribosomal RNA", at positions 338 to 795 of the family's 1533-position model. The record is from RNAcentral.